AACGAACGCUGGCGGCAUGCCUAACACAUGCAAGUCGAACGAGACCUUCGGGUCUAGUGGCGCACGGGUGCGUCACGCGUGGGAACCUGCCCUUAGGUUCGGAAUAACUCCCCGAAAGGGGUGCUAAUACCGGAUAAUGUCUUCGGACAAAAGAUUUAUCGUCUUUGGAUGGGCCCGCGUUGGAUUAGCUUGUUGGUAGGGUAAAAGCCUACCAAGGCGACGCUCCAUAGCUGGUCAGAGAGGAUGAUCAGCCACACUGGGGCUGGGACACGGCCCGGAAUCCUACGGGAGGGAGCAGUGGGGGAUACAGGACAAUGGGGGAAGGCCUGAAGCAGCAAGGCCGCGUGAGUGAUGAAGGCCGGAGGGAUGUAAAGCUCUUUUACCCGGGAUGAUAAUGACGGUACCGAGAGAAUAAGCACCGGCUAACUCCGUG
RNAcentral lists this ribosomal RNA (433 nucleotides) under uncultured bacterium. RNAcentral's name for it is "partial 16S ribosomal RNA". It matches the Rfam family "Bacterial small subunit ribosomal RNA", at positions 29 to 507 of the family's 1533-position model. The record is from RNAcentral.